Nycticebus coucang (slow loris) is the source of this 140-nucleotide small nuclear RNA. RefSeq annotates it as U4 spliceosomal RNA. The transcript has a single exon. NCBI's taxonomy places the organism in Eukaryota, Metazoa, Chordata, Mammalia, Primates, Lorisidae. The record is from RefSeq and is a predicted model, not a curated record.
AGCUUUGCACAGUGGCAGUAUCACAGCCAAUGAGGUUUAUCUGAGGCACAAUUAUUGCUAAUUGAAAACUUUUCCCAAUACCCUGCAUGAUGACUUGAAAUAUAGUUGGCAUUGUCAAUUUUUGACAGAUUCAAUGGAGA